GUGGAUAAGGUAACCUAGGGGUAGGAUGGAGGGUUGAGCCACAGCCACUUAUUUGGGAACUAAAUGCCAUGCCACAAGAUUUCAAGAUUAUGUUAGGCAUGAAUGACAGCUCAGGUGAUGUUAGAAACUAAUAUUAGUAUGGAAAACAUAGAUUGCCAAGCACGAAUCUAUCAGCCGUCAUAAUUUUCUUUUUCAUUUUUUUUUGAAAGGGGCACACUGCCCAAUCAAUUAAGAGAGAAAAGGUGAGGCUGAGGCACUUGCACCAGACACCACUCGUUAUCGUACGCGGGUUGGCUGCCCGAGCACCCUGCGAACUUAUGGAGUUUUUUAUGUUUUAAUCAUUUUUUAAUAAAUAUUUCAAUAUUAAUCAUCUCAAAAAAUAUUUUAUAUCAUAUAGUCUCUUUGGUUGCGUCAAUCCCGCUGGUGCAACCAGAUAACAUAGUCACACUAUAUGCGUUAGCGUGGCAAGAUACAUC
RNAcentral lists this long non-coding RNA (476 nucleotides) under Sorghum bicolor (sorghum). Its description in RNAcentral is "long non-coding RNA (SBIC_LNC006051)". The record is from RNAcentral. Lineage: Eukaryota; Viridiplantae; Streptophyta; Magnoliopsida; Poales; Poaceae.